RNAcentral lists this ribosomal RNA (421 nucleotides) under uncultured bacterium. RNAcentral describes it as "bacterial SSU rRNA". It matches the Rfam family "Bacterial small subunit ribosomal RNA", at positions 360 to 773 of the family's 1533-position model. The record is from RNAcentral.
AAUUCUGGACAAUUGGCGCAAGCCUGAUCCAGCCAUUCCGCGUGCAGGAUGAAGGCCCUCGGGUUGUAAACUGCUUUUGUACGGAACGAAAAGGCUCUGGUUAAUACGUGGGGCUCAUGACGGUACCGUAAGAAUAAGCACCGGCUAACUCACUGCCAGCAGCCGCGGUAAUACGUAGGGUGCAAGCGUUAAUCGGAAUUACUGGGCGUAAAGCGUGCGCAGGCGGUGAUGUAAGACAGGUGUGAAAUCCCCGGGCUUAACCUGGGAACUGCAUUUGUGACUGCAUCGCUGGAGUGCGGCAGAGGGGGAUGGAAUUCCGCGUGUAGCAGUGAAAUGCGUAGAUAUCUGGAGGAACACCGGUGGCGAAGGCGGCAUCCUGGACCGGCAUUGACGCUGAGGCGCGAAAGCCAGGGGAGCAAAC